GCACACUGUGAGUCACAUACAAGUCAGUGCAUGGCGAAUCUUUCGUUAAGUGGGAUAUGCAGGCUAACGAGGGAACAGGAAGCUGCCAGGCUGCGAUACAUAAUUCUCAGCAAACUUCAUGAAGAAUGAUGGCUUCUAUUCCAGAUGAGGUUUCAUGUGCUGCCCAGGAUGAGCCACUGUGCCCGGCCAAAUGAGCUAUUUAUGAUGAUCAUAAGGACACAAGAUAAGGGAUUAGUAGAUUACAUGCCGGAGGAAGUCACCACCAUCACAUAUUGGAUUUCAGCAAGCAUUUGAUAAAAUUGCUUAUAAUAUUUUGGCCAAUAUUGGAUGGAAAAAUAUUGAGGAGAUGAUGUAGUGCUGAAGAAAGACAAGAUGCUGAGGAAGACAAGACUGGUUAACAGAUCAUGGCAUUUUAAAGGUUCCAUGAAGAAUGGACCGCAGUGUAGAACUGUGUUUGGACAGAAAAGGUAUAAUCUUAUGGAAAUAGACCGAGUGGGGAAUCCCAGCAAGGCCUGUCUGUUAAGGUUCUUCCUGGCCUCUCUGUGCAGCUGUCUUCCUUCCAGGUAUGAGGCAGAACCCUUUUUGGAAUGAGUGUCUUAUGACCUAUCGUUAAACAAUGUAAGUCAGAGAUUUCUUUAUGGCCAGGUCUUACACAGGAAGGUCGGGGAGUGGCAGGAGGUUAGAGUAAUGUUUUUAGGUUUUAUGGCUGGCUUUGAGGAACAGGAGUUCUAGUUUCUAUAACACACCUUGGGGAAGAAGGAUUAUAGUUUUUAUGGCUAGCCUCGGGGGAGACUGAUGGGCCAGAGACAGGAGGGAAGGAGAAGGUCAGAGAGAACUUGCUUCUGAGGCUACCUCUGAGGCCUUCACUUUGGGAUAUUGUUUUCUGAGCCACAACAAUCUCAUAAAUAUAUACAACUAUAAUCUGUCAAUUUACAAUUAAAAUAAAUUUUAAAAAAUAAAGAUACUGUGACAGGUAACAAACAGAUACAUGGUUCAGGCAAACAAAGAGGAUGGGGGAGGUUGGCAAGUGUCUAAUGGGAAUGGUGGGCACACUAAUAAGUGGGCAGUGUACUUGAGUCAGGAGCAAAUGGUAGUCCUCGGCAGGCAAGAAUGGGCACCACAGAAAGAUGGACAGGCCACAGGCUUGUAAUUUUAGUAUUGGGGUAUGGGUGGGGAGAAGUCUCUGCAUGAGGAUAUAUGCAAAAUGGAUGAAAAGAUCCCAAGUUUAAACAUGUUUUUAAAAAAAUAUAAAGGUACUCCAGUUAGAGAAUAAUGGGGAUAAAAAGCAGUUUAUUGAAACGGUAAUUUCAGAAAGCAUUGGCCAGGUGCAAUGGCUCAUGCCUAUAAUCCUAGCACUUUGGGAGGCCAAGGCAGGAGGAUCACUUGGGGGCAGGAGUUCAAGACCAGCUAUGAGUUUGGGCAACAUAAUGUGACAUCAUCUCUACUAAAAACAAACAAACAAACAACAACAACAACAAAAAAAAAACAAAAAAAAAAAACAUUAGCUGGUUGGUGUCGCACAUGCCUGUGGUCCCAGCUAGUCGGGAGGCUGAGGCAGGAGGAUCACUUGAGCUGGGGAGGUCGAAGCUGCAGUGAGCUGUAAUGAUGCCGCAGCAUUCCAGCCUGGGCCACAGUUAGACCCUGUCAAAAAAAAGAAAAAGAAAAAGAAAAAAGAAAGGGUCACAUGCAUGGCAGAAGCUCGGCUGUUAGCCCUAAGGGCCAGCACUGUACAAGGAGGAAUCACAAUCCUGUGCUGAGUUCUAGAUUUUUGGUCUGGAGACCUUCAAAUUCUGAGUAUUAUCCCUAGACAAAUGGGGGAGACCACGCCCAUAGAGAGAAGUCAGGUGGCCUAAGCUAUAGAGAGGAGGGAUACAAAGGGAAAGAAUCAGGAAGUGCCUUAUCCCCACGUAGGGUCAACCAGUAGGUCUAUACCAGCUUUGUGGGAAAGCUCUUAAUUAUUUGUCUGAGAGCUUUGUCUAUGACUCUGACCUAUUCAAAUAGUCAUUAUGAACUUGAAUGAAAACAAGGAUAUGAAAAUAAAAUUUGUGAACAACACAGAGUUAGAG
Molecule: long non-coding RNA, 2066 nt
Filed under: Homo sapiens (human)
Lineage: Eukaryota; Metazoa; Chordata; Mammalia; Primates; Hominidae
Description: HSALNT0193131
Source: RNAcentral